GUUCCCGCAGGUCACAGUCCCACCCAGGGAAGACCCCUAAGUGGGUGUCGCAGGUUCGAAUCCUGCCGGGGGCA
Molecule: transfer RNA, 74 nt
Filed under: Streptomyces sp. SID8381
Lineage: Bacteria; Bacillati; Actinomycetota; Actinomycetes; Kitasatosporales; Streptomycetaceae
Description: tRNA-OTHER
Source: RNAcentral